Molecule: ribosomal RNA, 193 nt
Filed under: uncultured Enterobacter sp.
Lineage: Bacteria; Pseudomonadati; Pseudomonadota; Gammaproteobacteria; Enterobacterales; Enterobacteriaceae
Description: partial 16S ribosomal RNA
Rfam family: Bacterial small subunit ribosomal RNA
Source: RNAcentral
UACGGGAGGCAGCAGUGGGGAAUAUUGCACAAUGGGCGCAAGCCUGAUGCAGCCAUGCCGCGUGUAUGAAGAAGGCCUUCGGGUUGUAAAGUACUUUCAGCGGGGAGGAAGGCGUUGAGGUUAAUAACCUCAUCGAUUGACGUUACCCGCAGAAGAAGCACCGGCUAACUCCGUGCCAGCAGCCGCGGUAAUA